RNAcentral lists this unclassified non-coding RNA (381 nucleotides) under uncultured bacterium. Its description in RNAcentral is "contains 16S-23S intergenic spacer region". The record is from RNAcentral.
UCCGAGUUGUCCCCGGCAGUCUCCUACGAGUCCCCGGCAUUACCCGCUGGCAACAUAGGACAAGGGUUGCGCUCGUUGCGGGACUUAACCCAACAUCUCACGACACGAGCUGACGACAACCAUGCACCACCUGUCACUCUGUCCCCCGAAGGGGAACGUCCUAUCUCUAGGAUUGUCAGAGGAUGUCAAGACCUGGUAAGGUUCUUCGCGUUGCUUCGAAUUAAACCACAUGCUCCACCGCUUGUGCAGGCCCCCGUCAAUUCCUUUGAGUUUUAAUCUUGCGGCCGUACUCCCCAGGCGGGGCACUUAACGCGUAAGCUGCGACACGGAGAGGGCCGAUCCCCCCCACACCUAGCACCCAUCGUUUACGGCGUGGACUAC